GAUAAACGCUGGCGGCGUGCCUGACACAUGCAAGUCGAACGAUUCAAGUAGCAAUAUUUGAAGAGUGGCGGAAGGGUGCGUAACACGUAGGAGAUCUACCUCAUCGCAGGGAACAACCCAUCGAAAGAUGGGCUAAUACCCAAAAAGCUUCGCGGCUCAUACCGCAAAGCAGAGUCGAAAGGCGUGAUGAGAGGAUCCUGCGGCCCAUCAGCUAGUUGGCGGGGUAAAGGCCCACCAAGGCGAAGACGGGUAGCUGAUCUGAGAGGAUGAUCAGCCACACUGGGACUGAGACACGGCCCAGACUCCUACGGGAGGCAGCAGUCGAGAGGCUUCGGCAAUGGGGGAAACCCUGAUGCAGCGACGCCGCGUGGAGGAUGACGGAUUUAGGGUCUGUAAACUCCUUUUAUCGGGAAAGACUUAGGACGGUACCCGAUGAAUAAGGACCGGCUAACUACGUG
RNAcentral lists this ribosomal RNA (458 nucleotides) under uncultured bacterium. Its description in RNAcentral is "bacterial SSU rRNA". It matches the Rfam family "Bacterial small subunit ribosomal RNA", at positions 28 to 507 of the family's 1533-position model. The record is from RNAcentral.